RNAcentral lists this ribosomal RNA (659 nucleotides) under uncultured bacterium. RNAcentral describes it as "bacterial SSU rRNA". It matches the Rfam family "Bacterial small subunit ribosomal RNA", at positions 139 to 813 of the family's 1533-position model. The record is from RNAcentral.
GGGAAUAACAGUGAGAAAUCAUUGCUAAUACCGCAUAUGCUCACAGUAUCACAUGAUACAGUGAGGAAAGGAGUAAUCCGCUGAUAGAUGGGCUUGCGUCUGAUUAGUUAGUUGGUGGGGUAACGGCCUACCAAGACUACGAUCAGUAGCCGGACUGAGAGGUUGAACGGCCACAUUGAGACUGAGAUACGGCCCAGACUCCUACGGGAGGCAGCAGUCGGGAAUAUUGCGCAAUGGAGGAAACUCUGACGCAGUGACGCCGCGUAUAGGAAGAAGGUUUUCGGAUUGUAAACUAUUGUCAUUAGGGAAGAUAAAAGACUGUACCUAAGGAGGAAGCCCCGGCUAACUAUGUGCCAGCAGCCGCGGUAAUACAUAGGGGGCAAGCGUUAUCCGGAAUUAUUGGGUGUAAAGGGUGCGUAGACGGAAGAACAAGUUGGUUGUGAAAUCCCUCGGCUCAACUGAGGAACUGCAACCAAAACUAUUCUCCUUGAGUGUCGGAGAGGAAAGUGGAAUUCCUAGUGUAGCGGUGAAAUGCGUAGAUAUUAGGAGGAACACCAGUGGCGAAGGCGACUUUCUGGACGAUAACUGACGUUGAGGCACGAAAGUGUGGGGAGCAAACAGGAUUAGAUACCCUGGUAGUCCACACUGUAAACGAUGGA